AAUAUGAUGGCUGUAGUGGACUAAAUCCUCGUCGUCGCUGCUGCUGCUUGUGAUUGAACAAAUUGAUCCACCAGCAUGGUUUGCAUAGACAAGUGUUUCAUAACUGAAUGACUUCUGAACACUUGUAUCCUCCAUUCCUUUCUCCGAUUCUCCUUCUUCUGAAUCAUCAUCAAGUGAAUCUGUAUCCACUGGGUAAACAUAAUUGGGAUCCUCACUUCUGACUGAGUUCCUUCCAUCACUGCUGCUUUCCUCUUCAUGAGAUACCUUCUUGUGUCGCCCAAUAGAUAAUGCCUUGAAAAAUUUAACUUUCCGCAGACCUGCUUUUAAAGAAGAACCCUCAUUUCUGUCUAUCAACAAAACGUUUCCAGGAAUUGGAGAUACUGGAGCAGACAUGAUAAACUUUGGAAUGUUCUCUGAAGCUUCGUUAGUGUUCCUCAAUUCCACAAGGUUGAGCGAUAGACAGAGUGAAAGGCAACUCUUGAAUCUGCCAACAGAGGCUUCCAAAGGAACAAAAAUUUCAAUGCCGUCUUCUUUUUCUCCAGCUAGUGAAGCAAAGUCUGCAAGGUUCAAUGUCGCAGCAGCAAGUACGGGUACCUUCUGAUCUGUUCCUUUGCUUGUACCAUUGAACACAGUAAACACAACUUCCCAAGGAUGAAAAACACCAUCUUUAUAACCUGAAAAGUUACAAACACUUAAAAAUUCCUCAUUCCAUUCAACAAUCCCCUCAUCUUCCUUUAAACACUCUUCUUUUGUAAAAUUCUUCUUUACACUUUUCCUAGUAAAAGAGCUCAAAUUCAAAGAAAUCCCCUUUGUUGAUCCCUUCCA
RNAcentral lists this unclassified non-coding RNA (825 nucleotides) under Hevea brasiliensis (rubber tree). The record is from RNAcentral. Lineage: Eukaryota; Viridiplantae; Streptophyta; Magnoliopsida; Malpighiales; Euphorbiaceae.